Molecule: ribosomal RNA, 434 nt
Filed under: uncultured Clostridium sp.
Lineage: Bacteria; Bacillati; Bacillota; Clostridia; Eubacteriales; Clostridiaceae
Description: partial 16S ribosomal RNA
Rfam family: Bacterial small subunit ribosomal RNA
Source: RNAcentral
ACGGGAGGCAGCAGUGGGGAAUAUUGCACAAUGGGGGAAACCCUGAUGCAGCGACGCCGCGUGAGUGAAGAAGUAUUUCGGUAUGUAAAGCUCUAUCAGCAGGGAAGAAAAUGACGGUACCUGACUCAGAAGCCCCGGCUAACUACGUGCCAGCAGCCGCGGUAAUACGUAGGGGGCAAGCGUUAUCCGGAUUUACUGGGUGUAAAGGGAGCGUAGACGGUAAUGCAAGUCAGAAGUGAAAGCCCAGGGCUCAACCUUGGGACUGCUUUUGAAACUGUAAUACUAGAGUGCAGGAGAGGUAAGUGGAAUUCCUAGUGUAGCGGUGAAAUGCGUAGAUAUUAGGAGGAACACCAGUGGCGAAGGCGGCUUACUGGACUGUAACUGACGUUGAGGCUCGAAAGCGUGGGGAGCAAACAGGAUUAGAUACCCUGGUA